Molecule: unclassified non-coding RNA, 307 nt
Filed under: plant metagenome
Description: partial contains 5.8S ribosomal RNA, internal transcribed spacer 2, and large subunit ribosomal RNA
Rfam family: 5.8S ribosomal RNA (bases 1-105)
Source: RNAcentral
GAAAUGCGAUAAGUAAUGUGAAUUGCAGAAUUCAGUGAAUCAUCGAAUCUUUGAACGCACAUUGCGCCCGCCAGCACUCUGGCGGGCAUGCCUUUUCGAGCGUCAUUUCAACCCUCAGAACCCCUUGCGGGAUCUGGCGUUGGGGAUUGGCAUCCAGCCAGCCCCGAAAUCUAGUGGCGGUCCCUCCGCGACCUCCCCUGUGCAGUAGCGAUACCUCGCAGCGGGACAGCGGUCUGACCACGCCGUAAAACCCCCAACUUCUCAAGGUUGACCUCGAAUCAGGUAGGAAUACCCGCUGAACUUAAGC